Molecule: transfer RNA, 115 nt
Filed under: Nitrososphaerota archaeon
Lineage: Archaea; Thermoproteati; Nitrososphaerota
Description: tRNA-OTHER
Source: RNAcentral
GCCGGGAUAUGGUAGAUUCCCGAAGGCAGAGUGGACUAUUGCGCGGGCCUUGAGUCCCAAAAAGACAGCCCGUGGCCGUUUUACGGCCUCGUCGGUUCGAAUCCGGCUCCCGGCG